CUUGGUCAUUUAGAGGAAGUAAAAGUCGUAACAAGGUCUCCGUUGGUGAACCAGCGGAGGGAUCAUUACCGAGUUUACAACUCCCAAACCCCUGUGAACAUACCUAUACGUUGCCUCGGCGGAUCAGCCCGCGCCCCGUAAAACGGGACGGCCCGCCCGAGGACCCUAAACUCUGUUUUUAGUGGAACUUCUGAGUAAAACAAACAAAUAAAUCAAAACUUUCAACAACGGAUCUCUUGGUUCUGGCAUCGAUGAAGAACGCAGCAAAAUGCGAUAAGUAAUGUGAAUUGCAGAAUUCAGUGAAUCAUCGAAUCUUUGAACGCACAUUGCGCCCGCCAGUAUUCUGGCGGGCAUGCCUGUUCGAGCGUCAUUUCAACCCUCAAGCCCAGCUUGGUGUUGGGACUCGCGAGUCAAAUCGCGUUCCCCAAAUUGAUUGGCGGUCACGUCGAGCUUCCAUAGCGUAGUAGUAAAACCCUCGUUACUGGUAAUCGUCGCGGCCACGCCGUUAAACCCCAACUUCUGAAUGU
This 527-nucleotide ribosomal RNA is filed under the name uncultured fungus. Its description in RNAcentral is "eukaryotic LSU rRNA". The stretch from base 217 to 370 matches the Rfam family "5.8S ribosomal RNA". The record is from RNAcentral. Lineage: Eukaryota; Fungi.